Molecule: ribosomal RNA, 253 nt
Filed under: uncultured bacterium
Lineage: Bacteria
Description: partial 16S ribosomal RNA
Rfam family: Bacterial small subunit ribosomal RNA
Source: RNAcentral
UACGGGGGGGGCAAGCGUUGUUCGGAAUUACUGGGCGUAAAGGGCUCGUAGGUGGCCAACUAAGUCAGACGUGAAAUCCCUCAGCUUAACUGGGGAACUGCGUCUGAUACUGGAUGGCUUGAGUUUGGGAGAGGGAUGCGGAAUUCCAGGUGUAGCGGUGAAAUGCGUAGAUAUCUGGAUGAACAUCGGUGGCGAAGGCGGCAUCCUGGACCAACACUGACACUGAGGAGCGAAAGCGUGGGGAUCAAACAGG